GACGAACGCUGGCGGCGUGCUUAACACAUGCAAGUCGAACGGAAAGGCCCUGCUUUUGUGGGGUGCUCGAGUGGCGAACGGGUGAGUAACACGUGAGUAACCUGCCCUUGACUUUGGGAUAACUUCAGGAAACUGGGGCUAAUACCGGAUAGGAGCUCCUGCUGCAUGGUGGGGGUUGGAAAGUUUCGGCGGUUGGGGAUGGACUCGCGGCUUAUCAGCUUGUUGGUGGGGUAGUGGCUUACCAAGGCUUUGACGGGUAGCCGGCCUGAGAGGGUGACCGGCCACAUUGGGACUGAGAUACGGCCCAGACUCCUACGGGAGGCAGCAGUGGGGAAUAUUGCACAAUGGGCGGAAGCCUGAUGCAGCAACGCCGCGUGAGGAAUGACGGCCUUCGGGUUGUAAACCGCUUUCGCCUGUAACGAAGCGUGAGUGACGGUAAUGGGUAAAGAAGCACCGGCUAACUACGUG
Molecule: ribosomal RNA, 468 nt
Filed under: uncultured bacterium
Lineage: Bacteria
Description: partial 16S ribosomal RNA
Rfam family: Bacterial small subunit ribosomal RNA
Source: RNAcentral